Molecule: non-coding RNA, 3076 nt
Organism: Ceratotherium simum simum (southern white rhinoceros)
Lineage: Eukaryota; Metazoa; Chordata; Mammalia; Perissodactyla; Rhinocerotidae
Source: RefSeq, a predicted model, not a curated record
AGUUCUACUUAGUGACUCCUAUCUGAACGUGGCUUCCCAGUGAAGCAAAGGAAGAGGUUUGAGCUUCAAAGCACAGUUGCAAGGUUCUUCUCUGAGCUGAACAAUGGCUGUAUCUGUGGACCAACAAAUCCAGGCUCCUCGAGUACAAGAAGAGCUUCGAAUAGUGAAGCUGGAAGAAGAUUCCCACUGGGAGCAGGAAAUUUCCCUUCAAGGGAGUAACCUUGGACCAGAGACCUCCUGCCAUCGCUUUUGGCAUUUCCGCUAUCAAGAGGCAUCUGGACCCCGGGAGGCCCUUAUCCAACUCCAGACGCUCUGCCGUCAGUGGCUGAGACCAGAGAAGUGUACGAAAGAGCAGAUCUUGGAGUUGCUAGUUCUGGAACAGUUCCUGACUAUCCUUCCCCAGGAGGUCCAGGUCUGGGUUAGACAAAAGCAUCCGGAAAGUGGAGAGGAGGCAGUGGCCCUGGUGGAAGACUUGCAGAAAGAACCUGGAAGACGGGAGCUCCAGGCAAUGGUGAAGAACUCACAGCCAGAACCAGAAGAACAAUUGAGCCACAACCCCAGAGUAGAACUCUGAUCUUUCCACAAGAGUGCCCUGCCUGAUCCUCGGGCUCUGGGUCUUUCUGUGGAAGAGAGCAGUGGUGACCAGAGGACGAUGCACAGCUCCCAGGAGGCACAGAGGCAGCCAGAACCUGGACAGAGGAGCCCCCUGGAAGUAACUUGGGAGAAUUCCACAAAUGGAGCCCUGCUAGAUUUUCCUACCCCCAGACCCAGUGUGAGCUCCCACGUGGAGCAGCAGAGAGAACCGCAGAGCCCAGGUCUUCAGUGCUCCAGAGGGCAGAGCGUGGGAGACUCCCCAGGGGGCGGGGGAGAGUCAAGCCUGGCCAGUUGCCCGUCUUGAGAAAAGCCAAGAGCUGGAGUGGCAGGGCCUGGAGGAUGAGAAGGUGGCAGAGGUGCACUGGGGCCAUGAGGAAAUGAAGAUUUUUCUGGACAUUCUCAGUGAGUCCUGGAUCCAUGAAAAACUCUGUACGUGCCAUCAGAACCGCCAAGUUUACCGGAUUGUGGCUGAGCGGCUGUGAGAGUGUGGCUUCCUACGGACCCUGGAGCAGUGUCACUACCGGUUCAAAAACCUCCAGACCAACUACCACAAAGCCAGGAGCAGCCACACUCCAGGCACCUGCCCCUUCUAUGACAAGAUGGAUGCCCUGAUGUGCCCACAGGCUACCACCCCCGUUCCAGAGGUGGCAGGGAGUCUGCUUGGGCAGAGGGACCAUGACGUGGAGCUCGAAGAAUCGCAGAGUGGUUGCUGGGAACAGGAGGAGGCAAUGCCGGCUGAGGCUGUGCUAGAAGGCGGGGCAGAGAGGUGGGGGCGGAACCUGGGCCGUAGGGCAGCAUCUUUAGAAGGGCAUUCAGGAGCCGUGACAGAGGAUUCUGAGGAGGAAGAACUGGGCCUUGAGGAAGUGUCUGAAAGCCUUGGUAUCCCAGCCCUGUUUCGGAGUCCUACUGGUGUGCACUGGGGGUAUGAAGAAACUAAAAUUUUCCUGGGAAUUCUUGGUGAGCCCUACAUUCACGAGAAACUCCGUACCUGCCAUCGGAACCGCCAGGUGUACCGGAUUGUGGCUGAGUGGCUGCGGGAAUGUGGUUUCUUACGGACCCUGGAGCAGUGUCGCUACCGGUUCAAAAACCUCCAGACCAACUACCACAAAGCCAGAAGCAGCCACACUCCGGUCACCUGCUCCUUCUACGACAAGAUGGAUGCCCUGAUGAGUCCCUGGGCCCUUGCCAACACCUUUGAUGCCUUAGAGGUGUCAGGAGGCCUUCUGCAGAAUAGAGGGGACUCCAAGGAGAACCAGAAGGCAAUGCUGGAAGGUGUGACAGGGGAUGGUAAUGAAGUGGAAGAGGAGCCCCGGAGCCUUGGCGCCCAGGCUUUGAGGGGGAGUCCUAAUGGACUUCUAGUUCCCCAGCCAGAUGGGGUCUCAAGGGUUGAGAGAAUUGAAGAGCUUUGGAGUGACAAUCCCUGGGACUUCAAGGAAAUUCGGAAAACUUCCUGUGCAGAUCUUGAAACAAGGACAGAGAAUGAGGAAAAUUCAAGCCAGGACAUUUCAGAGGAAGUAGAACUACCUGGGGCAUUAUUAGAAAGACCCCAAAUGGACGUUUCCCAAUACUUUAAUUGGAAGAAAGACUGUGAAAGUAAAUAUGGGGCAGAAAAGCAAUGGGAAAUAUCCUAAGAAGAUGGACAAGAGUCACUCUCUCCUCUAGAAAGAGACUUAGGUAAAUUCAUAGGUCCUCAGGGAGCCUAUAUAGGAGAAAAGUCCAAUAUAUGCUGUGAAUGUUGAAAGAAUUUCAGCCAGAGCUCCCACUUAGCUAUCCACAGAUUAGCCUACAUCGGAGAAGAGAAACCUUAUAAAUGUGGCCAUUGUGAGAAAAGCUUUGGCUGAAGCUCACAUCUGGUUUGCCACCAGAGAAUCCACACUGGGGAGAAGCCCUGCACAUGCCCCAAAUGGGGGAAAGGCUUCAGCAAUCACUCUAACCUCGCAGCACACCAGAGAAUCCACACAGGAGAGAAGCCCUAUAAAUGUGGAGAGUGCUGGAAAAGCUUCAACCAGAGCUCAAGCCUUCUGAUGCAUCAGAGAAUCCACACAGGAGAGAAACCCCAUAAGUGUAGUGAGUGUGGAAAAAGUUUCACCAAUAGCUCUCAUUUUAGCGCUCACUGGUGAACGCACACUGGCGAAAAACCCUACCAGUGCCCUGAGUGUGGGAAAAAGUUCAGUAAGAGUUCCACUCUCACCAGCCAUCAGAGGAUCCACACAGGAGAGAAACCCUAUGAGUGUCUCGAAUGUGGGAAAAGUUUCAGUGACCACUCAAACCUCAUUACCCACUGGCGCACUCACACUAGAGAGAGACCCUAUAAAUGUGGGGAAUGUGGGAAAAGCUUCAAUCAGAGCUCAAGUCUUAUUAUACACCAGAGAAUCCACACAGGAGAAAAACCCUAUGAAUGCGUUGAAUGUGGGAGGCGAUUCAACAGUAGUUCACAUUUCAGCGCACGUCAGAGAACCCAUGUGAGAGAAAGAUUCUAACU